Molecule: ribosomal RNA, 332 nt
Filed under: uncultured Acidobacteriaceae bacterium
Lineage: Bacteria; Pseudomonadati; Acidobacteriota; Terriglobia; Terriglobales; Acidobacteriaceae
Description: bacterial SSU rRNA
Rfam family: Bacterial small subunit ribosomal RNA
Source: RNAcentral
CGCGUAGGCGGUCGGAUAAGUCUUGUGUGAAAUCUUCGGGCUCAACUCGAAGUCUGCACAGGAAACUAUCUGGCUUGAGUGUGGGAGAGGUGAGUGGAAUUCCUGGUGUAGCGGUGAAAUGCGUAGAUAUCAGGAGGAACACCUGUGGCGAAAGCGGCUCACUGGACCACAACUGACGCUGAGGCGCGAAAGCUAGGGGAGCAAACAGGAUUAGAUACCCUGGUAGUCCUAGCCCUAAACGAUGAUCGCUUGGUGUGACGGGUACCCAAUCCCGCCGUGCCGAAGCUAACGCGUUAAGCGAUCCGCCUGGGGAGUACGGUCGCAAGGCUGAA